CAGGCGUAGCAAUACGUGCUGACGAGCGGCGAACGGGUGAGUAACGCUUCGGAAUCUGCCCAAUGGUGGGGAAUAACCAGCCGAAAGGUUGGCUAAUUCCGCAUGAGCCCUUCGGGGGAAAGCGGGGGAUCGCAAGACCUCGCGCCGAUGGAUGAGCCGAAGUCGGAUUAGCUAGUUGGUAGGGUAACGGCCUACCAAGGCGACGAUCCGUAGCUGGUCUGAGAGGACGACCAGCCACACUGGGACUGAGACACGGCCCAGACUCCUACGGGAGGCAGCAGUGGGGAAUAUUGGACAAUGGGGGAAACCCUGAUCCAGCGACGCCGCGUGUGUGAAGAAGGCCUGCGGG
Molecule: ribosomal RNA, 349 nt
Filed under: uncultured bacterium
Lineage: Bacteria
Description: bacterial SSU rRNA
Rfam family: Bacterial small subunit ribosomal RNA
Source: RNAcentral